GAAAUAUUGGUUUGUUCUGUCGACGGCCAGCCUGAGGUUCUACAGAGACUCGUCAGCUGAGGAGGCUUCAGACCCGGACGGAGAAAUCGACCUGUCGAAGUUCUACAGUGUGUCUGAAUAUCAGGUCCAGAGAAACUACGGCUUCCAGAUCCACACCCAGAAGGCCGUCCGUCUUCACGCUGUCCGCCAUGACGGCAGGAAUACGCAGGAACUGGAUCCAAGCGCUGAUGAAGAACGUCAAUCCGGCCGACGCGCCCGACGUGGCCAGCUUACCUGGCCGCCGCCUCACCUGCAGCCCAGCUGAGGUCGGACCGUACGUGGCGCAGGACUCCGCCUCCUGCCACGCCCCCAGACUCCCAGGCCCCGCCUCCAGCAGCGAGUCGGACCAGUCCGGGGUCGGCGCCAAAGCCCGACUGGACGGAGUUGCGUCCUACCUGGAGCUGGGCGACCUGGAGAGGCUCAAGCGGCGGGAGGAGAGGAGGCGGCGCUACGAGAGCCUGCUGGGCUUCCCUCCGGGGCGGGGCGGGCCGCAGGGCGGCACCACGCGACCUCUGAGCCCCCAGUCCCAGCUGAAGAUGGAGGAGCGGAUCGCAAAGUGCUGGAGGCAGGUGGAGAGGACGGCGCUGAGACCAGAGAGGACGGUGGCGCUGCCCACCGAGUCCAGAGACGCUCUGGAGACGGAGACGCUGCUGCAGGACUGCAGGACGCUGGUCGAUGACCUGAAGGCCCAGCUGGCGGGUUUGGAGCGUCGCAGACUCCAGCUGGAAGAUCGCCUCAGAGCUGCCAGAUUCUGUCCGGAGCAGAUGGACCUUCUGGUUCCAUUCGACCCGAUUUUCCACCCUGCAGACGGGAGCUUGACUCUGCUGAAUGACUCUGGGUGGCUGUUCAGAGACCUGCUGCAGCAGCGCAAAGACCUGCUGCAGCAGCGCAGCAACUCCUCGUCGGCUGCAUGUCUGUCCGGCAUCUGGAUACGCCUCCCAGUCGGAGAUUCAGCAGAAACAGACGGUUUGGUCUUAGCUGCAGCUGCAGCAGGCGGCCAGCAGGGGGCGCCUCAGGCUGACUGGAGAGACCCGGACAUCCACGCUGCAGUAAAGAGUUUGACCCAGGAGGUGGCGCUGCUCAGCAGCCAGAACCGAGCUCUGGACCAGCACAACCAGGAGAUGCUGGACCAGCUGACCGAGGCGGACCGGGAGAUUGACCGGCUGAGGGCCGAGUUGGGCCGCUGCUACAACGAGCCGCUCCGCUGGAACCAGGAGCUGCUGUCGGCCUCACUGGAGGUUCUGCUGCGGCUCAAACACUCAGCAGAACCAAACGGACCAGAACUGCAGCUGGAGCAGUCGGAACGGACCUGCAGGAAACCAGAGCAGGAAAACACGGAGCUGAAGGAAACAACAGUUGAAGACGUCACUGAGGAGAAACCGGACCAGAACCAGAACCAGAACCAGGCCGUUUCUGCUGAAGAAAACAUCCAGGAAGUGACAGCAGGAGCGGGGAUGAGGCUGCAGGCGUUGGCGCAGCUGCUGGAGGUCAUCGACGGUUUGGACCUCAGAGAGGAAGAGGAGGAAGAGUUCUGGAAAUCUGACCUGAACAAGAUGAAGAGCGACCCGGCCCGGUUGCAGCAGCCAAUAGGAGAGCAGCUGGAGCAGGCCGGCCAUGCGCUGCUGCACCCUGAGGAAGAGGAGGAGGAGGAAGAGGAGAGCUUCGUGUGGGGAAGAGUUUCAGAGAACCGCAGAUUUACUGAUGAGCUGAGAGGCAUCACUCUGAGCAGAAUAUCGUGUCUGAACCGCCUCGCUGCCUCCGGCCGCAGCGCCGCAUGCGACCGCCUGCAAUCCGCCGCAGACAAACUCUCCUCUUCCCACCUCGCAUCGUCUGCAGCGGCGGACGCAUUCUGCUGCGUUCGGCUCAGCAGGCUGCGGUCCAGAUACCAGAGGAGAGUCUGUUCCAGCUGCAGCGGCGGCAUGGAGGAGAUCCAGGAGCUGAACACCGGACCGGAGGACACGUGGACCACAGAGGAUGCCCAGGUGAGCAUCAGCUGCCAGACUGAUGGAGGUCAGAGGUCAACAGCAGAGGGCUCAGAGGAAAUGCUGCACCUGGAGCAGAAUGAAACUCCUCUGAUGAGGCCGCAGGAGACGCAGCAAAGCUCUGACCUCCGAGCCGAAGGGGAGACGCUGCAGGAGGAGCUGAGGCGAAUGCAGGAGCAGCACCGGCAGGAGGUCGCUCAGCUGAAGGCCUCCUGUGAGCGCGCCUUCAUCACCAUGGAGACCUGUCAUCUGGGGGUGGUAGAGGAGCUGCAGCGCCUGCACCAGCAGGAGGUGCAGUGCCUCCUGGUGGAGAGAGACAGACUGUUGGAGGAGGAGAGCGCUGCUACUGCGACCGCGAUCGAAGCCAUCAAGAAGGCCCACCGCGCCGAGCUGCAGACGGAGAUCCAGAGGAGGAGCCAAUCAGAGAACUGCAACAGAAACUCGCAGCUGGAGGAGAUCCACAGGGAGGAGCUGGCCUCCUUCCAGCUGGAGCUGGACGUUUUGUCCCAGCAGUUCUCCAUCAAGUGUCUGGAGAACAGACACCUGGUCCAGGCUGUGGAGGCCGAGAGGAAGGCCUUGGGUCAGUGUCGGCAGGAGAACCGGGCCCUGCGGAGCCGCAACCAGGAGCUGAGCCGUCACCUGGCGGCGGAGAUCACCAGACUGUGUUCUGUGGCCCAGCAGGAGCAGCCGCCGCGCGGCCAGACCGGGGACGGCUACGAGGUGGAGGUGAGCCGGGUCAGGGGUCAGGAGGUCACGCUGCGAGUUCAGGAGGCCGAGGUCCAGAGUCUGAAACAGGAAGUGGCGUCUCUGAAGGACGAGCUGCAGGCGGCGGUGAAGGUCGGCGUCCCGCACGCUACAGAGUUUGGUUAAAAAAACCUACGAUCAGGGCGUGCUGCGGUGGCAUAGCGGUCAGCGCGACCCACGUUUGGAGGCCUCGAGUCCUCGACGAGGCCGUCGUGGGUUCGAUUCCCGGACCCGGCGAUAUUUGCCACAUGUCUUCCCCCCUUUCCUUCCCCCUUUCCGGACCAGAGGAACGCAGCACAGAAGUACCUGAGGAGCUGAGGGAGAACCUGAGGCUGGCGCACCGGGCGCUGGGUUCAGCCUGACCUCCAGGACGACCUUCUGACAUCCAGGACGACCUUCAGCCUGACCUCCAGGACGACCUAUUAACACAACAGAGCUUCAUCUCUGUGUCAUAUUUUAUAUGAGCGAAACAUUUCUUUAAAGUAACUAUUUUUUUAAGUAUAACUCAUUUACUUUAAUGUAUUUUUAUAACUUUAAAACAUUGUUUCUACUGAAUGCACUCAAUAAACACUUUUGUUUGUGUUAAUUUAAAAAUAUA
Xiphophorus couchianus (Monterrey platyfish) is the source of this 3363-nucleotide RNA transcript. It is a transcript of the gene named rootletin-like, with no coding region annotated. The record is from RefSeq and is a predicted model, not a curated record. NCBI's taxonomy places the organism in Eukaryota, Metazoa, Chordata, Actinopteri, Cyprinodontiformes, Poeciliidae. The transcript has 12 exons.